This 480-nucleotide long non-coding RNA is filed under the name Rosa chinensis. RNAcentral describes it as "sRNA RchiOBHm_Chr3g0465751". The record is from RNAcentral. Lineage: Eukaryota; Viridiplantae; Streptophyta; Magnoliopsida; Rosales; Rosaceae.
CUAUCCAACCCUAGCUAAAGCGACUCCCACUUUCACUUCGAGCAGUUCCUUCACCUUGGCCGACCUCGUUCUCCCCGACCUCGUUCUACGACCUGAGCUCGUUCUCCGACCCAACCUCGUCCUUCAACGACCCGAGCCACCUUCAGCUCCUUCACCGACCCAGAACUGCCUCGAUCGACCACGACCACGAUCUCCUUCAGCGAGCUCCUCCGACCUAUUUCUAAGACCCGAGCUCGUUCUCCGACCCGACCUCGUCCUUCAACGGUCCAAGCCACCUUCAGCUCCUUCAUCGACCCAGAACAGCCUCGAUCGACCACGACCACGAACUCCUUCAGCGAGCUCCUUCAAUGACCUGACCACGACCACGAACUCCUUCAGCGAGCUCCUUCAAUGACCUGACCACGAACUCAUUCUCCCACCUGAGCUCGUCAUUGUCCGACUUGAGCCGGCUCGAGGUAGUUCUCCGAUCGCCACCAUCGU